Molecule: long non-coding RNA, 947 nt
Organism: Molossus molossus (Pallas's mastiff bat)
Lineage: Eukaryota; Metazoa; Chordata; Mammalia; Chiroptera; Molossidae
Exons: 4
Source: RefSeq, a predicted model, not a curated record
GGAGAGGACAAGGAACCUUCCUAUGACCUGUGGGCUCCCUGUGGUCUCCUUCUGACGGCUCUGCAGCAGACUAGUGAUGGCUAAAGAUCCCAGGACCCAUUUUGGUUGGUCAUGGUGCCAGCCUGGAAGGCUGAUAUGAUGGCUGGAACUUUGCAACCAUUUUGGACCAGGAGACAACCUUGAGGAUGACAGCUACACAUCUGGGUGUGAAGAAGAAAGCGAGGAGCUCACACCAUCAAGACACCAUGGGAUUGUCUUUUUGGUGCUGGGCUGCCUGGCUCCAGACGUCUUUAAACCACUGAGAUGUUGGGAUCUAUUGCAGUUGAACUUAACCCAAAACAUUAGAAAUUAUUGAAGGUAACAAGGAAGAUUCAGAGUUGAUCACUGAAUUUCCCACUCCCCUGAAAUGGUGGUGUUGGGGGGCCUACAGUAAAGUCAAGUUGAAUCUUCAGGCACCGGGGAGCACCCUGAACAGCCCUGGAGAUGUGUUCUGCUCGCGGUGGGAAGUGACGGCUGGCCACCAAGAACUGGGGACGACCCACCGUGGCUGCACCCGGUGCCCCGUGUCUCCCUCUCGCUUCACCCUGGAACCAGUGGCAUCUACGGGACAGUGGUCAGGAGGCGUGCAGGGACCCCGAGGAGCAAAGCUCGGAGAAGACCGUCCAGUCCUCAAGUUACCACAGGCAGCCAGGGACAGAGUGGCCCGACCCGGGGACCUGUGUGACCUCAGAGCUCGCGUUCUUCCCACGCGCCGUGAAACUGCACUCAGGUCAUUUCUCUCGGUAGAACGCAUGACACGGUGACAGCUGACCAGGCUUUGUGAGUGUCGCCCUGGCCAAGCGCCAAGCUGCAAAUCACACCAAAUCCCCACGGAAGCCAAAUAACCAGUGCCUUUGUGCGGCCUGCAACUCCAGCUGUGUCGGCUCAACCGGAUCUAUUGACGAGUC